Molecule: long non-coding RNA, 502 nt
Organism: Neofelis nebulosa (Clouded leopard)
Lineage: Eukaryota; Metazoa; Chordata; Mammalia; Carnivora; Felidae
Exons: 3
Source: RefSeq, a predicted model, not a curated record
GGGUGUUUAAGGUGGGAAGAAGACAGGAGAAAUAACAGACCUCCCCUCCUCACGCAAAAUUUGCAUGCCAGCUUCCCUUUGGGAGACCCUGCCAGCUCCAUGAAUCCAGGGACCUUUCCUUCAUUCCCCACAGGACGCCCGGCACAGAUUUGGCACAGGGCAGGUGCCCAAUAAGCAAAGGGGCCACUUCAUUCUUGCCACACAAGCAGCCCGAGGACACGCUCCACGGGGUCAUAAGCACCUUAGAUGAGGAGCCCGGGAAAAAACGGGGCACGAUAAGGCACGGAGGCUGGAGAAGAACAGAGGGCGCAGAGUGGAGGGCCUCGGCCGGCUGACAAAGGAGCCGCUCGGAUGCAGACUCCAAGGAAUUACCGCCGAUAAGAGCACAGGCGGGGGAGCACGCGGUGCAAGGGCGAGAGCAAACAAGAUCCUCAAUCAGCACUUGUCCUAUUUCAUAAGCAAAAUGUAGAUCAAUAAAUUACACUCACUUGUGCAGGUUUUA